GNGAUGCGCAGCUUACACAUGCAGUCGAACGGACCCUUCGGGGUUAGUGGCGGACGGGUGAGUAACACGUGGGAACGUGCCUUUAGGUUCGGAAUAGCUCCUGGAAACGGGUGGUAAUGCCGAAUGUGCCCUUCGGGGGAAAGAUUUAUCGCCUUUAGAGCGGCCCGCGUCUGAUUAGCUAGUUGGUGAGGUAAUGGCUCACCAAGGCGACGAUCAGUAGCUGGUCUGAGAGGAUGACCAGCCACAUUGGGACUGAGACACGGCCCAAACUCCUACGGGAGGCAGCAGUGGGGAAUCUUGCGCAAUGGGCGAAAGCCUGACGCAGCCAUGCCGCGUGAAUGAUGAAGGUCUUAGGAUUGUAAAAUUCUUUCACCGGGGACGAUAAUGACGGUACCCGGAGAAGAAGCCCCGGCUAACUUCGUGCCAGCAGCCGCGGUAAUACGAAGGGGGCUAGCGUUGCUCGGAAUUACUGGGCGUAAAGGGCGCGUAGGCGGACAUUUAAGUCAGGGGUGAAAUCCCAGAGCUCAACUCUGGAACUGCCUUUGAUACUGGAUGUCUUGAGUGUGAGAGAGGUAUGUGGAACUCCGAGUGUAGAGGUGAAAUUCGUAGAUAUUCGGAAGAACACCAGUGGCGAAGGCGACAUACUGGCUCAUUACUGACGCUGAGGCGCGAAAGCGUGGGGAGCAAACAGGAUUAGAUACCCUGGUAGUCCACGCCGUAAACGAUGAUUGCUAGUUGUCGGGCUGCAUGCAGUUCGGUGACGCAGCUAACGCAUUAAGCAAUCCGCCUGGGGAGUACGGUCGCAAAGAUUAAAAACUCAAAGGAAUUGACGGGGGCCCCGCACAACGGUGGAGCAUGUGGUUUAAUUCGAAGCAACGCGCAGAACCUUACCACCCUUUUGACAUGCCUGGACGGCCACGGAGACGUGGCUUUCCCUUCGGGGCAUGAGAGACACAGGGCUGCGUGGCUGGCGUCACUUCAGGUCUGACAUGUGGGUUU
This 999-nucleotide ribosomal RNA is filed under the name Actinomycetota bacterium. RNAcentral describes it as "bacterial SSU rRNA". It matches the Rfam family "Bacterial small subunit ribosomal RNA", at positions 39 to 1081 of the family's 1533-position model. Lineage: Bacteria; Bacillati; Actinomycetota. The record is from RNAcentral.